UUUGUGGAGAGUUUGAUCCUGGCUCAGGACGAACGCUGGCGGCAUGCCUAACACAUGCAAGUCGAACGGAGAGCUGAAGUUUCGAUGGAAGCUCUUAGUGGCGGACGGGUGAGUAACGCGUGGAUAACCUGCCUGAGAGUGGGGGAUAACAGCCCGAAAGGGCUGCUAAUACCGCAUAACGUUCCUGGAGGACAUCCUCUGGGAACCAAAGGAGCAAUCCGCUCUUGGAUGGGUCCGCGUCCGAUUAGCUCGUUGGUGAGGUAAUAGCUCACCAAGGCGACGAUCGGUAGCCGGCCUGAGAGGGUGAACGGCCACACUGGGACUGAGACACGGCCCAGACUC
This 342-nucleotide ribosomal RNA is filed under the name Heliobacterium chlorum. Its description in RNAcentral is "bacterial SSU rRNA". It matches the Rfam family "Bacterial small subunit ribosomal RNA", at positions 1 to 338 of the family's 1533-position model. The record is from RNAcentral. Lineage: Bacteria; Bacillati; Bacillota; Clostridia; Eubacteriales; Heliobacteriaceae.